Non-coding RNA from Mycena floridula, 112 nucleotides. The record is from the annotation of a GenBank genome assembly. NCBI's taxonomy places the organism in Eukaryota, Fungi, Basidiomycota, Agaricomycetes, Agaricales, Mycenaceae.
GCCAACGUAGCACAAUGGUAGUGCACUGCUUUCCUACGAUGGGACUUGAACCCACGGGGCACGGGGUUCCUCAGUGAGGCAGAGGCUGUGGGUUCGAGUCCCAUCGUUGGUU